UGAGUAAUGAAAUGGGGAAUU
Molecule: non-coding RNA, 21 nt
Organism: Caenorhabditis elegans
Lineage: Eukaryota; Metazoa; Nematoda; Chromadorea; Rhabditida; Rhabditidae
Source: Ensembl